RNAcentral lists this transfer RNA (73 nucleotides) under Bacteroidales bacterium. RNAcentral's name for it is "tRNA-Val". It matches the Rfam family "tRNA". From Rfam's summary of the family: Transfer RNA (tRNA) molecules are approximately 80 nucleotides in length. Their secondary structure includes four short double-helical elements and three loops (D, anti-codon, and T loops). The record is from RNAcentral. RNAcentral also lists the same sequence under 1 other name. Lineage: Bacteria; Pseudomonadati; Bacteroidota; Bacteroidia; Bacteroidales.
GGGCGCUUAGCUCAGCUGGGAGAGCAUCUGCCUUACAAGCAGAGGGUCGCAGGUUCGAUCCCUGCAGCGCCCA